RNAcentral lists this transfer RNA (69 nucleotides) under Ictidomys tridecemlineatus (thirteen-lined ground squirrel). RNAcentral's name for it is "Spermophilus tridecemlineatus (thirteen-lined ground squirrel) tRNA". It matches the Rfam family "tRNA". Rfam says of the family: Transfer RNA (tRNA) molecules are approximately 80 nucleotides in length. Their secondary structure includes four short double-helical elements and three loops (D, anti-codon, and T loops). Lineage: Eukaryota; Metazoa; Chordata; Mammalia; Rodentia; Sciuridae. The record is from Rfam by way of RNAcentral.
GGGGCUGUAACUCAGUGGUAGAGUGCCUGCCUCGAAUGUACGAGGCACUGGGUUCAAUCCUCAGCACCA